CGGGGCGUAGCGCAGCCCGGUAGCGCGCCUGCUUUGGGAGCAGGAUGUCGCAGGUUCGAAUCCUGCCGCCCCGACCA
Molecule: transfer RNA, 77 nt
Filed under: Rhodocyclaceae bacterium
Lineage: Bacteria; Pseudomonadati; Pseudomonadota; Betaproteobacteria; Rhodocyclales; Rhodocyclaceae
Also listed under: 1 other name
Description: tRNA-Pro
Rfam family: tRNA
About the family: Transfer RNA (tRNA) molecules are approximately 80 nucleotides in length. Their secondary structure includes four short double-helical elements and three loops (D, anti-codon, and T loops). Further hydrogen bonds mediate the characteristic L-shaped molecular structure. tRNAs have two regions of fundamental functional importance: the anti-codon, which is responsible for specific mRNA codon recognition, and the 3' end, to which the tRNAs corresponding amino acid is attached (by aminoacyl-tRNA synthetases). tRNAs cope with the degeneracy of the genetic code in two manners: having more than one tRNA (with a specific anti-codon) for a particular amino acid; and 'wobble' base-pairing, i.e. permitting non-standard base-pairing at the 3rd anti-codon position.
Source: RNAcentral